This 492-nucleotide ribosomal RNA is filed under the name uncultured bacterium. RNAcentral describes it as "partial 16S ribosomal RNA". It matches the Rfam family "Bacterial small subunit ribosomal RNA", at positions 29 to 507 of the family's 1533-position model. The record is from RNAcentral.
AGUGAACGCUGGCGGUAGGCCUAACACAUGCAAGUCGAACGGCAGCACAGUAAGAGCUUGCUCUUACGGGUGGCGAGUGGCGGACGGGUGAGGAAUACAUCGGAAUCUACUUUUUCGUGGGGGAUAACGUAGGGAAACUUACGCUAAUACCGCAUACGACCUACGGGUGAAAGCAGGGGAUCUUCGGACCUUGCGCGAUUGAAUGAGCCGAUGUCGGAUUAGCUAGUUGGCGGGGUAAAGGCCCACCAAGGCGACCAUCCGUAGCUGGUCUGAGAGGAUGAUCAGCCACACUGGAACUGAGACACGGUCCAGACUCCUACGGGAGGCAGCAGUGGGGAAUAUUGGACAAUGGGCGCAAGCCUGAUCCAGCCAUACCGCGUGGGUGAAGAAGGCCUUCGGGUUGUAAAGCUCUUUUGUUGGGAAAGAAAAGCAGCAGGUUAAUACCCCGCUGUUCUGACGGUACCCAAAGAAUAAGCACCGGCUAACUUCGUG